Molecule: non-coding RNA, 1335 nt
Organism: Sesamum indicum (sesame)
Lineage: Eukaryota; Viridiplantae; Streptophyta; Magnoliopsida; Lamiales; Pedaliaceae
Source: RefSeq, a predicted model, not a curated record
CUUGUGGACUAGACAGGACAUAAGAGGGGCUCUGACCGGAAUUCUUGUUCUAAAGAUCCUGGCCUUUUCAAUUCUUUGAAUUAUCUUCCUCUUGAUUUGAUUUCUAUAAUUCUUGAUCUUACUUUUAAAUAUCCCAACUGGGUUCUUCUUUCUUUCUAUCAAAAGCAUGAUCUUUGAGGUUUUCGUAGCUGGUUUUGUUUCAAUCUUGUCUUGGUGGAUGAGUUGGGAUUUUGCGUGUCCUCUUUUUCUCGGCUGUUGUUUUGCAUUCCUGAAUUAGACUUUUGGGAUGGCUACCCGUGACAUGCUGGGUGAUCAGCAACCACAGAUUGCUCAAUGCCCUGGCUUUAUGGAUUUUUGGUUAUCAUUUGAAUGAGUAGGAGCCUUUGGGUUUCUGUAUAUCCGGGUAAUUUCACAGUUGAAGAUUGAGCAUUUCUGGGAUAUGAGUUUGUUGAUGUACAAUACAUUUGUGUUUUUUCUUGGAAUUUCACUAGCUAUUCAGCCCUAUCUAUCCUAAAUUCCUUUCAGAUGUUGGCUUAGACCAUUGCUUUCGGUAUGAAUUUGCCAGUCUUUUCGUUCUACCUUCCUGUGAAAAGUAACCCAUUCUGUGAUAGAAAUUGCAAGAAGUUAGGUACUUCAAUUUUGUAGGAGAACAUAUAGCUGCUAAAUCAGACAAUGAUGGGAUUCAGAAUGAGCAAUUAUCUUCUUUUAAUAACAAGAUUGUCUGUCAAGAAUUCAUCUGAGUUUUCCAAUACAUACAAGAAAGAAUCAAAUGACCUUGAAAACAAUCCCUGAAAGUAUGGCAACAGUCCAGAUUCGAGUUGCAAGAAUGUGCAUUGUGAAGAUGGCAGGACGUGGAACCAUAUUAUCCUUCUUCACAUAUCACCUGCCCGUGUUCAUAAAAUCAUAGCAGGAAGAACAGCAUCCUUCAAUGGUCCCCAGCAUUCCACACGGUUGUACUUCUUUGAGCUAGAGUGGAAGAAGACUCUGACAAUAGCAUCCAUUAGUUCUUGCCGCUUGCUGAAAAGAUCUGAGUCGCCAUACAGCACAGCUUCAAGUACCUGGAUGUUUACAAAAUUGAUGAACUUAGACUAAGUUACAGUCCUUCUGUCAAUUCUGAUAAGGUUUGAUAAACUAGUAACUUGACUUAUGUUUGGCUCAUUUAUAUGACGCAUUCAAGCGAAUUUGUGAUGCUUCACCACCAUAGACAAAUAAACUUACCAGUGGCAAUUCCUUGGAGAAUAUGUGGUAUCUGAACUCAGCAGCCAGGUCCGACAAGGAAUUCGGUCCACUCACAUAACAAUGAACGUUUAAGCAUAAGAUACCGUUUACUUCAGU